UGUGUAUGAAGCAUCUCUUAUGCUUUUCAUCAAAGUGUCCCAGUCACUCUCACAAAACUGGUGACCUCCAACUUCAAUCAGAUGUACUAACGCUCCCAAAGAGAUUGAAACCACAGUCUGAUCAGUCUUUUUUGCACAGUCCAGAAGCAAACUCAGAAGAGGAGGCAACAUGAAACACACCUCCUUGUAGAAUGUGUUAAAAAGGUUGCACAGCAACUGAAGCGAAUGAAUGCUGGUUUCUCGAAACCACUCAUUAUCUGAAGAGAUUAAGCUUUCCUUGCCAGCAAGUCUCACGUGAUCAAAAAUGGGAAACAACACACGAUG
RNAcentral lists this unclassified non-coding RNA (324 nucleotides) under Hevea brasiliensis (rubber tree). The record is from RNAcentral. Lineage: Eukaryota; Viridiplantae; Streptophyta; Magnoliopsida; Malpighiales; Euphorbiaceae.